Long non-coding RNA from Cairina moschata (Muscovy duck), 1332 nucleotides. The record is from Ensembl. NCBI's taxonomy places the organism in Eukaryota, Metazoa, Chordata, Aves, Anseriformes, Anatidae.
CUUCACGGCCAUCGAGGUACUUUUUUAAGCCACCGCUGUCCGAAACACGAGCUCACGCUGCGUUCUUACACGCUACGAGCACGGACCGAGCAAUCCUGCGAAACCCCGGGGCAGCGCGGGUGCGCGAGCGCUCAGCAGCCCGCCGGGCCGAGGGCAGGCGCGGCGCCGGAGCCGGGGCCGGGGCCCGGGCAGCACCGGGCCGGGCAGCGCCGGGCAGAGCCCUCGGCCGCGGGGCCCGGCCCAGCCGCGCGGCGUCCGCACCUCCCGGGCGGGCACGGGCGGGGCCCCCGGUACCGCUCCGCGGCGCCACACGGCCCGGCCCGGCCCGGCGCUCCCGUCCGCGGGGCAGCCCGGCUGUCAGGCGCGGCCGCGCCCGCGUCCUUCUCUCGCCCCGGCGCCCCGCAGGGCUCGCCGCCGGCAGCAGCGCAGGGCAGGCGCGCUCCCGGGGACCGGGCUCCUGCUCCCCCCGCCGGCCGGCACGCGGGGCGGGCGCGCAGGCCGGGCUGCCGGGCUGCUCCCCGGGCCUCGCCCCGCUCCGGGCCCGCCGCGCCUCUCCCUUCCCUGCCCCCACCCGCGCGGCCCCGGCCCCGGCCCCGGCCCCGGCCCCGCCGCCCGCCUCGGCCCGGCCCCGCCGCGCUCCGCGGCCACAAAGUUUCACUCGCGCGGCCGCCGCCGAGCGCCGCUGGAGGGAGCGGGCGAAGGGCGCUGCCCGCAGCCGCCGCCGUGGGGCGGGGGUGCGGGGGGCAGGGGCGCCGAGCGCUCACCUCCGCCGCGCGGGCCCCGCUCGCCUCCCCGACGGCUCCCGCGGCGCGGCCCCCGCCGGGCUCCUCCGCGGCCAGGCAGGCGCGGCGCCGGGAUGAGCUCACCGCCGGCGGACGGCCGCAGUCCCCGCCUCUCCACGGGACCGACUCCGCGGGGCGGGGAGCGCCCGGGGCGGGGCGGCGGGAUCGGCUCGGCCGGGAUCGGCUCGGCCGGGAUCGGCUCGGCCCUCGGCCCGCUCGGCGCAGCCCCCGCGGGACGGCCGGGCGCGGCCCGCAGCAGAGCUCAGUGGGGCGGGUGCCGGCGGCGCCAGGCCUGGGCCGGCCCCGAGCGCGCAGGCCCCGCGGCCCACCCCACGGCAGCGCCCCCCGGCGGGCAGGGCACUGGCGGCGGCCGCCAGCCCCGACGGCCCCAGGGCCGGGCGCGACGGCUCCGGCCGGCGGGGUGCCGGGAGCUCGGCUCAGGCGUACGCGUGCCGGUGCGCGCGGCCUUUUGAGCGCGCUCCGUUCCGUCAUCUUGUCCUCAUCUUUCUCGUGCAGCGUGCCUGGACGGCAGCGACCUCGGCUAGGCUAA